RNAcentral lists this ribosomal RNA (305 nucleotides) under uncultured bacterium. RNAcentral describes it as "bacterial SSU rRNA". It matches the Rfam family "Bacterial small subunit ribosomal RNA", at positions 335 to 656 of the family's 1533-position model. The record is from RNAcentral.
UACCUACGGGACGCAGCAGUGGGGAAUAUUGGGCAAUGGGCGCAAGCCUUACCCAGCAAUACCGCGUGAGUGAAGAAGGUCUUCGGAUUGUAAAGCUCUUUGAUCAGGGACGAACAGAUGACGGUACCUGAAGAACAAGCCCCGGCUAACUACGUGCCAGCAGCCGCGGUAAAACGUAGGGGGCGAGCGUUGUCCGGAAUGACUGGGCGUAAAGGGUGCGUAGGCGGGAUAGCAAGUCAGAUGUGAAAUCCUAUGGCUUAACCAUAGAACUGCAUUUGAAACUGUUAUUCUAGAGUAUGGGAGAG